Molecule: ribosomal RNA, 376 nt
Filed under: Bacillus sp. TH44
Lineage: Bacteria; Bacillati; Bacillota; Bacilli; Caryophanales; Bacillaceae
Description: partial 23S ribosomal RNA
Rfam family: Bacterial large subunit ribosomal RNA
Source: RNAcentral
GGUUAAGUUAGAAAGGGCGCACGGUGGAUGCCUUGACACUAGGAGUCGAUGAAGGACGGGACUAACGCCGAUAUGCUUCGGGGAGCUGUAAGUAAGCUUUGAUCCGAAGAUUUCCGAAUGGGGAAACCCACUAUACGUAAUGGUAUGGUAUCCUUACCUGAAUACAUAGGGUAUGGAAGACAGACCCAGGGAACUGAAACAUCUAAGUACCUGGAGGAAGAGAAAGCAAAUGCGAUUUCCUGAGUAGCGGCGAGCGAAACGGAAUCUAGCCCAAACCAAGAGGCUUGCCUCUUGGGGUUGUAGGACAUUCUAUACGGAGUUACAAAGGAGCGAGGGUAGACGAAGCGACGGAAAGGUCCGUCACAGAGGGUAAUAA